RNAcentral lists this ribosomal RNA (450 nucleotides) under uncultured bacterium. Its description in RNAcentral is "partial 16S ribosomal RNA". It matches the Rfam family "Bacterial small subunit ribosomal RNA", at positions 354 to 796 of the family's 1533-position model. The record is from RNAcentral.
GUGGGGAAUAUUCCGCAAUGGACGAAAGUCUGACGGAGCAACGCCGCGUGAGUGAUGAAGGUUUUCGGACUGUAAAGCUCUGUUGUUUAGGACGAAAGUGCCUGUUGCGAACAGUUACAGGUAUUGACGGUACUAAACGAGGAAGCCACGGCUAACUACGUGCCAGCAGCCGCGGUAAUACGUAGGUGGCAAGCGUUGUCCGGAAUUAUUGGGCGUAAAGAGCAUGUAGGCGGAGAUUUAAGUCUGUUGUGAAAAUGCGGGGCUCAACCCCGUAUUGCGAUGGAAACUGAAUUUCUUGAGUGCAGGAGAGGAAAGGGGAAUUCCCAGUGUAGCGGUGAAAUGCGUAGAUAUUGGGAAGAACACCAGUGGCGAAGGCGCCUUUCUGGACUGUGUCUGACGCUGAGAUGCGAAAGCCAGGGUAGCGAACGGGAUUAGAUACCCGGGUAGUCC